AUGACAAUCGAUAAAGCUCAAGGUCAAACAAUUCCGCAUGUUGGUAUCUACCUUCCAGAACCUGUGUUCUCUCACGGUCAACUAUAUGUUGCAUUGUCCCGAGGAAUAUCAAGGCAAACGACAAGAAUACUUGCCAAGCCAAACAGGGAUGUCGACCCAUCAGGAAAAAGUACCAAAAAUAUUGUCUAUAAGGAGGUUUUGGCAUGA
RNAcentral lists this ribosomal RNA (207 nucleotides) under Triticum aestivum (bread wheat). Its description in RNAcentral is "partial small subunit ribosomal RNA". Lineage: Eukaryota; Viridiplantae; Streptophyta; Magnoliopsida; Poales; Poaceae. The record is from RNAcentral.